AUCUUCGGCAAUGGACGCAAGUCUGACCGAGCAACGCCGCGUGAGCGAAGAAGUAUCUCGGUAUGUAAAGCUCUAUCAGCAGGGGAGAAAAUGACGGUACCUGACUAAGAAGCACCGGCUAAAUACGUGCCAGCAGCCGCGGUAAUACGUAUGGUGCAAGCGUUAUCCGGAUUUACUGGGUGUAAAGGGAGCGUAGACGGAGAAGCAAGUCUGGAGUGAAAGCCCGGGGCUCAACCCCGGGACUGCUUUGGAAACUGUUUGUCUAGAGUGCCGGAGAGGUAAGCGGAAUUCCUAGUGUAGCGGUGAAAUGCGUAGAUAUUAGGAGGAACACCAGUGGCGAAGGCGGCUUACUGGACGGUAACUGACGUUGAGGCUCGAAAGCGUGGGGAGCAAAC
Molecule: ribosomal RNA, 395 nt
Filed under: uncultured bacterium
Lineage: Bacteria
Description: bacterial SSU rRNA
Rfam family: Bacterial small subunit ribosomal RNA
Source: RNAcentral